Molecule: long non-coding RNA, 315 nt
Organism: Thalassophryne amazonica
Lineage: Eukaryota; Metazoa; Chordata; Actinopteri; Batrachoidiformes; Batrachoididae
Exons: 3
Source: RefSeq, a predicted model, not a curated record
CUGGGGAGACAAAGCAAGUGAGGGGGAGAGGGCGAGCGAAUGACAGAUUUAACACAUAUGACACAUAUUGUGGGCUGUUGGACAACAGCGAUUGUAAACAUGUGGGGUUGAUGCAUUACAUGUCACGGCCACAUCAUGGACUGCUUGUUAUAACAGGUGCGUGCACUGGUAAUGAUGGCUGCGCACGGAGGUGAUCUGAUGACCGUUAUAAACUGAUCUCUCGCCUUCACAUGCACCACAGUCAUGUGGACAUCAGAGUGACCUGCAUUACGUGAUUACAGUCCAUACAUUGGAUGUCUUUCAAAAUCCAGUAGA